This 354-nucleotide long non-coding RNA is filed under the name Monodelphis domestica (gray short-tailed opossum). Its description in RNAcentral is "lncRNA (ENSMODG00000037166.1)". The record is from RNAcentral. Lineage: Eukaryota; Metazoa; Chordata; Mammalia; Didelphimorphia; Didelphidae.
AAGAGAGAAAAAAAGGAAAGAAGGAAGGAAAGAAGGAAGGAAGGAAGGAAGGAAGGAAGGAAGGAAGGAAGGAAAGAAGGAAGGAGAGACAGAGACAGACAGAGAGAGACAGACAGAGGGAGAGACAGAGAUAGACAGAGAGAUAUUGAGAGAGGGAAAGGGGAAGAUAGGAAGGAAGGAAGGAAGGAAGGAAGGAAGGAAGGAAGGAAGGAAGGAAGGAAGGAAGGAAGGAAGGAAGGAAGGAAGGAAGGAAGGAAGGAAGGAAGGAAGGAAGGAAGGAAGGAAGGAAGGAAGGAAGGAAGGAAGGAAGGAAGUCCUAGUUGUGUCUCUAAUUUAUUAGGUAAAUUUGGGCAA